RNAcentral lists this small RNA (180 nucleotides) under Chrysemys picta bellii (western painted turtle). Its description in RNAcentral is "TUC338 (ENSCPBG00000026147.1)". The record is from RNAcentral. Lineage: Eukaryota; Metazoa; Chordata; Testudines; Emydidae.
UAUAUAGCUGCAUAGCCUGAUGUCCUCUGUUUAUUCUCGAAACAGGUGUAACAUGGGCAGCAGCAACACAAGCUUCCCCACUCUGUCCCACCAACAUGCCUCCAUUCUGUCCUAGAGGGCCCACUUGGGGGCUAAAAAGGGUUCUCCAGGGCAUAGGCGGCGGGUGAACCCAUGCUUUGG